GAUGAACGCUGGCGGCGUGCUUAACACAUGCAAGUCGAACGAUGAAGCCCAGCUUGCCGGGUGGAUUAGUGGCGAACGGGUGAGUAACACGUGAGUAACCUGCCCUUAACUCUGGGAUAAGCCUGGGAAACUGGGUCUAAUACCGGAUAGGAGCGUCCACCGCAUGGUGGGUGUUGGAAAGAUUUAUCGGGUUUGGAUGGACUCGCGGCCUAUCAGCUUGUUGGUGAGGUAAUGGCUCACCAAGGCGACGACGGGUAGCCGGCCUGAGAGGGUGACCGGCCACACUGGGACUGAGAAACGGCCCAGACUCCUACGGGAGGCAGCAGUGGGGAAUAUUGCACAAUGGGCGGAAGCCUGAUGCAGCGACGCCGCGUGAGGGAUGACGGCCUUCGGGUUGUAAACCUCUUUCAGUAGGGAAGAAGCGAAAGUGACGGUACCUGCAGAAGAAGCACCGGCUAACUACGUG
Molecule: ribosomal RNA, 466 nt
Filed under: uncultured bacterium
Lineage: Bacteria
Description: partial 16S ribosomal RNA
Rfam family: Bacterial small subunit ribosomal RNA
Source: RNAcentral